This 1770-nucleotide ribosomal RNA is filed under the name Xylella fastidiosa. RNAcentral's name for it is "partial 23S ribosomal RNA". It matches the Rfam family "Bacterial large subunit ribosomal RNA", at positions 3 to 1821 of the family's 2925-position model. The record is from RNAcentral. Lineage: Bacteria; Pseudomonadati; Pseudomonadota; Gammaproteobacteria; Lysobacterales; Lysobacteraceae.
UCAAGCGAAUAAGCGCACAUGGUGGAUGCCUUGGCGGUCAGAGGCGAUGAAGGACGUGGUAGCCUGCGAAAAGUGUCGGGGAGCUGGCAACAAGCUUUGAUCCGGCAAUAUCCGAAUGGGGGAACCCACUGUUUAGGCAGUAUCUUUGAGUAAAUUCAUAGCUCAAGGAGGCGAACCUGGUGAACUGAAAUAUCUAAGUAACCAGAGGAAAAGAAAUCAACAGAGAUUCCCUGAGUAGUGACGAGCGAACGGGGAUUAGCCCUUAAGCUAGUAUGGUUUUAGGAAAGCAAUCUGGAAAGGUUGGCCAUAGAAGGUGAUAGCCCUGUAUCCGAAAGGGCCGUACUAGUGAAGAUGAGUAGGACGGGGCACGUGAAACCUUGUCUGAAUAUGGGGGGGUCCAUCCUCCAAGGCUAAAUACUCCUGACCGACCGAUAGUGAACUAGUACCGUGAGGGAAAGGCGAAAAGAACCCCGGAGAGGGGAGUGAAAUAGAACCUGAAACCAUGUGCGUACAAGCAGUAGGAGCCCUUAUGGGUGACUGCGUACCUUUUGUAUAAUGGGUCAGCGACUUACUGUUCGUGGCGAGCUUAACCGUAUAGGGGAGGCGAAGGGAAACCGAGUCUGAUAAGGGCGCAUAGUCGCGGGCAGUAGACCCGAAACCGGGUGAUCUAGUCAUGUCCAGGGUGAAGGUGCUGUAACAGGUACUGGAGGCCCGAACCCACUCCCGUUGCAAAGGUAGGGGAUGAGGCGUGAUUAGGAGUGAAAAGCUAAUCGAACCCGGAGAUAGCUGGUUCUCCUCGAAAGCUAUUUAGGUAGCGCCUCAUAUGUAUCCUCUCGGGGGUAGAGCACUGUUAUGGCUAGGGGGUCAUCGCGACUUGCCAAACCAUUGCAAACUCCGAAUACCGAGAAGGACUGUAUGGGAGACACACGGCGGGUGCUAACGUCCGUCGUGAAAAGGGAAACAACCCAGACCCACAGCUAAGGUCCCAAAUUCAUAGCUAAGUGGAAAACGAUGUGGAAAGGCAUAGACAGCCAGGAGGUUGGCUUAGAAGCAGCCAUCCUUUAAAGAAAGCGUAAUAGCUCACUGGUCGAGUCGGUCUGCGCGGAAGAUUUAACGGGGCUAAGCUAUGAACCGAAGCUUGGGGUGCAUAUUUUUAUAUGCGCGGUAGAGGAGCGUUCCGUAAGCCUGUGAAGGUGAGUUGAGAAGCUUGCUGGAGGUAUCGGAAGUGCGAAUGCUGACAUGAGUAACGAUAAUAUGGGUGAAAAACCCAUACGCCGAAAGCCUAAGGUUUCCUUGCGCAACGUUAAUCGGCGCAGGGUUAGUCGGCCCCUAAGGCGAGGGCGAAAGCCGUAGUCGAUGGGAAGCAGGUUAAUAUUCCUGCACCUCGCGUGAGUGCGAUGGAGGGACGGAGAAGGCUAGGUGUACCGGGCGUUGGUUGUCCCGGGGAAAGGAGGUAGGCUGGUUCCUUAGGAAAAUCCGGGGGUCCUUUUAAAGCCGAGCACCGAGACGAGUCUUUUUAGAUGAAGUCACUGAUGCCACGCUUCCAGGAAAAGCUUCUAAGCUUCAGCUCACGAAGACCGUACCGUAAACCGACACAGGUAGGUAGGAUGAGAAUUCUCAGGCGCUUGAGAGAACUCGGGUGAAGGAACUAGGCAACAUGGCACCGUAACUUCGGGAGAAGGUGCACCCUUUUUGGUGGCGCGUGCGCGUUAUAGCUGAAGAGGGUCGCAGAAACCAGGCCGCUGCGACUGUUUAUCAAAAACACAGCAC